CAGCCGCCGCGGUAAUACGAGGGGGGCAAGCGUUGUUCGGAAUUAUUGGGCGUAAAGGGUGCGUAGGCGGUUUGGCAAGUUUGGUGUGAAAUCUUCGGGCUCAACUCGAAGUCUGCAUCGAAAACUGCCGGGCUUGAGUAUGGGAGAGGUGAGUGGAAUUUCCGGUGUAGCGGUGAAAUGCGUAGAUAUCGGAAGGAACACCUGUGGCGAAAGCGGCUCACUGGACCAUAACUGACGCUGAUGCACGAAAGCUAGGGGAGCAAACAGGAUUAGAGACCCCCGUAGUCCCUGUCUCUUAUAC
RNAcentral lists this ribosomal RNA (301 nucleotides) under uncultured bacterium. Its description in RNAcentral is "partial 16S ribosomal RNA". It matches the Rfam family "Bacterial small subunit ribosomal RNA", at positions 509 to 807 of the family's 1533-position model. The record is from RNAcentral.